RNAcentral lists this long non-coding RNA (557 nucleotides) under Capsicum annuum. RNAcentral describes it as "long non-coding RNA (CANN_LNC001105)". Lineage: Eukaryota; Viridiplantae; Streptophyta; Magnoliopsida; Solanales; Solanaceae. The record is from RNAcentral.
AAUUCCCAAAAUUUUAUCCUGACACAGAGAAAGGAAAUUUGAGAAGAAAAAAACAAGAAAACGUAUUCCAUCACCGACAUAACUUCAAGGAGUCAACUUUUGAUUUAUGGUUUUGAAUGGUUUGAUUACUGAUUGGGUUGGAAUAGUAGAGUACCGGAAUGGGGUUGGGCUGAUCAUCGGUUUCAUGACUGCUACCGGCGAUAAUUCGUCGGAAUUUUGAUAACCGAAAAGGGAGAGGUGCGAUGAGUCUCCGGCGCUAGUGGCACAGAUCCGGUGAGGGAUCAGCCGAUAGGGAAGCGGUGGGCUUCGCUGAUGGUGGUGGAUCUGAUUAGGGGAGAAAGGGAAAGAAGGGUGACGCUAAAAAAAAUGGCGAUUGCCAGAAAAGCAAUCCAAUAUUUUGUUCAUUUUUUUUGUUUUCUCUCUCUAUCUCUCGAUUCCUAUCUCACUUCUUUUUUGAUUUUUUUACUCUUUCCGGUGUAUGUGUGCCUAUGCGUAUGUGAGGAUCUAUGAAUAGGUGUAUGUACUAUGUAUUGUUGUGUGAAAUAAUGUGAAUGGUC